GACGAACGCUGGCGGCGUGCUUAACACAUGCAAGUCGAACGGAAAGGCCCUGCUUUUGUGGGGUGCUCGAGUGGCGAACGGGUGAGUAACACGUGAGUAACCUGCCCUUGACUUUGGGAUAACUUCAGGAAACUGGGGCUAAUCCCGGACAGGAGCUCCCGCUGCAUGGUGGGGGUUGGAAAGUUUCGGCGGGUGGGGAUGGACUCGCGGCUUAUCAGCUUGUUGGUGGGGUAGUGGCUUACCAAGGCUUUGACGGGUAGCCGGCCUGAGAGGGUGACCGGCCACAUUGGGACUGAGAUACGGCCCAGACUCCUACGGGAGGCAGCAGUGGGGAAUAUUGCACAAUGGGCGGAAGCCUGAUGCAGCAACGCCGCGUGCGGGAUGACGGCCUUCGGGUUGUGAACCGCUUUCGCCUGUGACGAAGCGUGAGUGACGGUAAUGGGUAAAGAAGCACCGGCUAACUACGUG
This 468-nucleotide ribosomal RNA is filed under the name uncultured bacterium. Its description in RNAcentral is "partial 16S ribosomal RNA". It matches the Rfam family "Bacterial small subunit ribosomal RNA", at positions 28 to 507 of the family's 1533-position model. The record is from RNAcentral.